Molecule: long non-coding RNA, 469 nt
Organism: Camelus dromedarius (Arabian camel)
Lineage: Eukaryota; Metazoa; Chordata; Mammalia; Artiodactyla; Camelidae
Exons: 4
Source: RefSeq, a predicted model, not a curated record
AGCCAGGUGUUUCGAAGACCAGAUCUGAGGAUUCGAUGCAGCGAGCUGUGACAACAGGGGACUGCAGCCUGGAAGAGGGUAAAAAGAAAAUGCAAGACCACCAUGCUGCAUCGGGAUCUCUGAAAGAACGUGAGGAAGACGGUUUCCAAAGGCAGGUGAAGAAAGUAAGUGUCCUUGAUGAAAUCAGUGGACAGAGAUCUAUGGACACUGAAGGGAAGGUGGACAUGAACGGAUGUGAGCUGGUGGGAAAGCAGCAGCUGUUGGCAGCAAAGGAGGAGGCAAAAUUGGCUGAAGAGGAGACAAGAUGGUACAAGAUAAGACUUGAAGAAUGUCACGGGCAAAUGCGGGAAGCAGAGAUCAUUUGGAGACACCAGGUAACCUGCCUUCCUCCUGACACACCGAGUCCUCAGCACCUGAUGCAGACAGUUAUUGUGGCCCUGAGAACCCCUAGCCAUGGGGUGUUUCUUGA